Molecule: long non-coding RNA, 827 nt
Organism: Pezoporus flaviventris
Lineage: Eukaryota; Metazoa; Chordata; Aves; Psittaciformes; Psittacidae
Exons: 3
Source: RefSeq, a predicted model, not a curated record
UUUGCCAGAAUGGGAACUCAGUAAUGCCUGGAGUUUUAUUUGUCACUGAAUUACUCUUUAAUUGGAACUGAUUGCCUGAGCUGCUGUUUGUAACUGCAGCACUCUCUCUACUCAGUUGAGGGGGAAACCUUUAACAUCCCCACCAACAGGGCUGCAAUGUUUGCUGUGACAGACUGCAAGAUACUGAAAUCCAUCCCUGGGUAGAGAGAGAUUUAAUAUGCAUCGUUUUGUCCUAGUGGGUUAGAAAAACCUACUGACUGGUGGUGUCGCAUCAUCUCUAGACUGAUAAUAGCAGCAGGCUUGGUUUGUGCUGGUAGCAGGCUGUAAAGGGAUGAGCAGCAGUCUUAUAAACACAAUGUCAAGUAACAUAUAUCAGCAAUUUGCUGUGUAUUUGUUUCCUGUACCUCUGCCCCAUGGAGGGCACUGACCUUAACACAAAAUAAUAAGGUUAACAGAGACAGUUUGGGAAAUCUUCUCCAAACCUGCUAGAUUCCCAUCUCCUGAGGGCCUGAAGAUUAAAUGGCUACUGGAGAGCCAGAAAAGCUGGAGGUUUGUUGAAAUAGUGUUUAGCACCAACAGUCUGAUAAUUAUAAAGGGCUGGAAGAGACUGUGGUAGGGGACAUGUACAACUGCGACAACCAGCAACAACAGUCGGGGGAAGAAUAGGAGGAAAAUGUAUGGCAUCUAUGGAAGAGGUGCAAACAAAUGUACCACUGCUGCUACACUCUUACUUUUCUGUUGAUUCCAGGUGAUACCUGAGCCAGUGGGAUGGGGACUUAAAGCACUGCAAACUUCUUAGAAUAGUAUCUUCAAUUGCUGUUGUCUAU